UGAGGAAUAUUGGUCAAUGGGCGAGAGCCUGAACCAGCCAAGUCGCGUGAAGGAUGACAGCCUUAUGGGUUGUAAACUUCUUUUAUACAGGAAUAAAAAGGUGGACGCGUCCACCAUUGCAUGUACUGUAUGAAUAAGC
Molecule: ribosomal RNA, 139 nt
Filed under: uncultured bacterium
Lineage: Bacteria
Description: partial 16S ribosomal RNA
Rfam family: Bacterial small subunit ribosomal RNA
Source: RNAcentral